This 468-nucleotide ribosomal RNA is filed under the name uncultured bacterium. Its description in RNAcentral is "partial 16S ribosomal RNA". It matches the Rfam family "Bacterial small subunit ribosomal RNA", at positions 28 to 507 of the family's 1533-position model. The record is from RNAcentral.
GACGAACGCUGGCGGCGUGCUUAACACAUGCAAGUCGAACGGAAAGGCCCUGCUUUUGUGGGGUGCUCGAGUGGCGAACGGGUGAGUAACACGUGAGUAACCUGCCCUUGACUUUGGGAUAACUUCAGGAAACUGGGGCUAAUACCGGAUAGGAGCUCCUGCUGCAUGGUGGGGGUUGGAAAGUUUCGGCGGUUGGGGAUGGACUCGCGGCUUAUCAGCUUGUUGGUGGGGUAGUGGCUUACCAAGGCUUUGAAGGGUAGCCGGCCUGAGAGGGUGACCGGCCACAUUGGGACUGAGAUACGGCCCAGACGCCAACGGGAGGCAGCAGUGGGGAAUAUGGCACAAUGGGCGGAAGCCUGAUGCAGCAACGCCGCGUGCGGGAUGACGGCCUUCGGGUUGUAAACCGCUUUCGCCUGUGACGAAGCGUGAGUGACGGUAAUGGGUAAAGAAGCACCGGCUAACUACGUG